GUAUUAAUUUUUGGCUGUUUUUCUUUGGAAAAACAGGCAGAAGAUAUGGAGUUUCCCUCGCAAGAGGGUGCUUUAAAAUAGAUUGCCUUUGUAUUUGUUGGACUCGACGAAGUUUUUCAAAACCCGCAGAAAAGUAUUUGAAUGGAACCCUGGUUUCUCUUGAUGCUGAAUAUGCAGGCGAAAGAUGGAGUUUCCUUCAGGCAAAGGUCCAUACCUAUAAGUCAGUCUUAGGACUGGCUUGAA
RNAcentral lists this unclassified non-coding RNA (243 nucleotides) under uncultured Chytridiomycota. RNAcentral's name for it is "sequence contains ITS2". RNAcentral also lists the same sequence under 1 other name. Lineage: Eukaryota; Fungi; Chytridiomycota. The record is from RNAcentral.